RNAcentral lists this ribosomal RNA (505 nucleotides) under uncultured Glomus. RNAcentral's name for it is "SSU rRNA". It matches the Rfam family "Eukaryotic small subunit ribosomal RNA", at positions 569 to 1076 of the family's 1831-position model. Lineage: Eukaryota; Fungi; Glomeromycota; Glomeromycetes; Glomerales; Glomeraceae. The record is from RNAcentral.
AGCAGCCGCGGUAAUUCCAGCUCCAAUAGCGUAUAUUAAAGUUGUUGCAGUUAAAAAGCUCGUAGUUGAAUUUCGGGAUCAAUUUAUCGGUCGUGCCAAUGGUAUGAACUGGUACAAUUGGUUUCUCCCUUCUGACGAAGCAUGAUGUCAUUAAUUUGGUGUCGUGGGGAAUCAGGACUGUUACUUUGAAAAAUUAGAGUGUUUAAAGCAAGCAUUAGCUUGAAUACAUUAGCAUGGAAUAAUGAAAUAGGACGUUUGAUCCUAUUUCGUUGGUUUCUAGGAUCGACGUAAUGAUUAAUAGGGAUAGUUGGGGGUAUUAGUAUUCAAUUGUCAGAGGUGAAAUUCUUGGAUUUAUUGAAGACUAACUACUGCGAAAGCAUUUGCCAAGGAUGUUUUCAUUAAUCAAGAACGAAAGUUAGGGGAUCGAAGACGAUCAGAUACCGUCGUAGUCUUAACCAUAAACUAAUGCCGACUAGGGAUCGGAUGAUGUUAAUCUUUAAUGACU